RNAcentral lists this ribosomal RNA (253 nucleotides) under uncultured bacterium. Its description in RNAcentral is "partial 16S ribosomal RNA". It matches the Rfam family "Bacterial small subunit ribosomal RNA", at positions 524 to 776 of the family's 1533-position model. The record is from RNAcentral.
UACGGGGGGGGCAAGCGUUGUUCGGAAUUACUGGGCGUAAAGGGGACGUAGGCGGCCAACUAAGUCCGACGUGAAAUCCCAAGGCUUAACCUUGGAACUGCGUCGGAUACUGGAUGGCUUGAAUUCGGGAGAGGGAUGCAGAAUUCCCAGUGUAGUGGUGAAAUACGUAGAGAUUGGGAAGAACACCAGUGGCGAAGGCGGCUAUCUGGACGGUUUCUGACACUAAGACUCGAAAGCGUGGGGAGCAAACAGG